RNAcentral lists this ribosomal RNA (453 nucleotides) under uncultured Porphyromonadaceae bacterium. RNAcentral describes it as "partial 16S ribosomal RNA". It matches the Rfam family "Bacterial small subunit ribosomal RNA", at positions 341 to 792 of the family's 1533-position model. The record is from RNAcentral. Lineage: Bacteria; Pseudomonadati; Bacteroidota; Bacteroidia; Bacteroidales; Porphyromonadaceae.
ACGGAAGGCAGCAGUGAGGAAUAUUGGUCAAUGGGCGAGAGCCUGAACCAGCCAAGUCGCGUGAAGGAUGAAGGUUCUAUGGAUUGUAAACUUCUUUUGUUCGAGGGUAAAGUGAGGGAUGCGUCCCUUAUUGCAAGUAUCGAACGAAUAAGCAUCGGCUAACUCCGUGCCAGCAGCCGCGGUAAUACGGAGGAUGCGAGCGUUAUCCGGAUUUAUUGGGUUUAAAGGGUGCGUAGGCGGGAUGUUAAGUCAGCGGUGAAAGCGUGUAGCUCAACUAUACCAAGCCGUUGAAACUGGCGUUCUUGAGUGUAAACGAGGUAGGCGGAAUGUGACGUGUAGCGGUGAAAUGCUUAGAUAUGUCACAGAACACCGAUUGCGAAGGCAGCUGUCCAGAGAUCAUCUGACGCUCAGGCACGAAAGCAUGGGUAUCAAACAGGAUUAGAUACCCUGGUA